This 945-nucleotide long non-coding RNA is filed under the name Zea mays. Its description in RNAcentral is "long non-coding RNA (ZMAY_LNC001718)". Lineage: Eukaryota; Viridiplantae; Streptophyta; Magnoliopsida; Poales; Poaceae. The record is from RNAcentral.
AGGAGUAGCUCGCGCUUGGGGUCGACUUGGUUCGUCUUCCGCAUCGCGCGAUCAACUAGCGUACCUAAUGAAAUGCAUUAUGCAUAUGAAUGCGUAUCACAAAGGGUAUCGCAAGAUAAUAUUACGAUUAAGUCAUCAUCAUAAUCACGACAAUCUAAUUCUUAUGUAUGUACCAACAUAACCAGCCAUAAUAUAAAUAGAACGCGAGCAUUCUACAAAAUACUAACUUCAUCCUUUUAACGUAUGAACAGAACAUUUUACCAAUAUUUAAGACCACUACUCAUCACAUACGUGGAAUCUAUUUAAUUAUGUUUAACAUAUACACCUAUCAAGGCACUACUCACCUGACUUACCCAUCGACGAUCAUUAUACAUUGUGAUUAAUUCACCAUUGCACACAAGCACACCACAACAUCAGAUCAAUCCAAUUACACUAGACAUACGUUUCCACGUUGUGAAUUAAAAUGCAUAAGAUAUAGGUCGAUGGUGCUAACCACAAUCGGCCAUAACCAUACUUAAAACUAACUUAACUAGUUGAAAUAUACUCGACAAGUAUACCUACCGAAGCUCUAUUCCCAUAACCUACAUCUCAAACUGGCGAUCUGCUACCUGACUUUGACCAAAUCGCUGCAAGCGACUCGGGUAUCCUAAUAAAUAUUAUAUCUACUACCAGCAUACACAUAUGCUACGAGCAAAAGGACCGACAUAAUUAAUAUAUCCAAAUCAUCAAUCAAACACUAUCUGAAACAAUAAAUCGGCUAAUCAUUACCUAAACCUGAUCUGAAUUCGUGAGAUUGACGACGAUGUCCGGCGGGAGCAUUUCUCAGCACACCAUGGAAGCGAUGGAUGGGGUUCGCUUUUUUCUUCACCCAGAUUUCCCUAGAUUUCUUUCUUGUGGAGUACGGAACAAUAACGAAUGAACGUGGCUAUUGACAGAAUUGACGGU